AGGGGUGGGGCGUGAUGCAAUCAAGAGGUUCUUGGCGUGAUUCAAGGAGGGGUGGAUGCCCCUCCUUUGUUUCACCCGAGGAAGAAAAGGAGGGGGAGUUCCUUCCUUUUAUGCUUUAGAUUUUCUAAUUCAAUUAGGAAUCAUAUGGUUCCUCUUGAUUAAUUGAAUCCUAAUCUAAUUAGGACCCAAUAUGUCCUCCAAUUUGAUUCAUGUAAAUCCUAAUCCAAUUAGGAUCCAAAUUGGAUUUAUGAAUUAAGUUCCUUAUCAAAUAAGGAGUUCUAAUUAAUUAGGACUUUCCAUCCUUAUCUAAUAAGGUUAAGCCUAAUUGAUUUAGUCCAAUUGAAAUCCUCCUUCUUUAACUCACUAACUCUUAGUGGGUUAAACCAAUUAUCAAUCAAAUUGACAAUCAAGAUAUAUUGCAAUUCUAAAUCGCAAUCCAACCGUCGGAAUGAUCAAAAUCUCUUAUAUGUGUGACCCCAUAGGUUCUAUUCUGUCUGAUAGUGAGAUAUAUUGUGAUCUCCAUCAUAAUAUUAUUGAAACUCCUUUCAAUUGGUUGAAAUAAUUUCAACUCUUUUCUUCAGAAUUUACUGAUCAUCAAGUGAAUGCCUUCGAGUCUCACAAUCCACCAGUGAUACCUAGCAGCAUGUAGUGACAAUCCAGUAAAACGGAAUAGAUGAACUUCUAGGUGCAGUUAGCGUAUGAUAUAGUCCUUCUAUCAUGGAUCCCGACAAGAUGGAGGUCAUGGAUAACUCCUCAAACCCCAUCAUCUGUCAUAUGUCAAAAUUUAUUUGACUUAAGUUCGAGAUUAGAAAACUCCUUUUCCAAAAUGUCUUAGCCAAGGUUUUUCGAACUCAGACUCAUAAAUCACAUAGGAUCUCUCUUAGUCUAUCAAGAUCGAUAGAUCCCAUCUAGAUGCAAUCCUAAUUCN
This 928-nucleotide long non-coding RNA is filed under the name Phoenix dactylifera (date palm). RNAcentral's name for it is "long non-coding RNA (PDAC_LNC009966)". The record is from RNAcentral. Lineage: Eukaryota; Viridiplantae; Streptophyta; Magnoliopsida; Arecales; Arecaceae.